UACGUAGGGGGCAAGCGUUGUUCGGAUUUAUUGGGCGUAAAGAGCGUGUAGGCGGCCAGGUAGGUCUGCUGUGAAAACUCGAGGCUUAACCUCGAGCUGUCGGCGGAAACCAUCUGGCUAGAGUCCGGAAGAGGAGAAUGGAAUUCCCGGUGUAGCGGUGAAAUGCGCAGAUAUCGGGAAGAACACCCGUGGCGAAGGCGGUUCUCUGGGACGGUACUGACGCUGAGACGCGAAAGCGUGGGGAGCGAACAGG
Molecule: ribosomal RNA, 253 nt
Filed under: uncultured bacterium
Lineage: Bacteria
Description: partial 16S ribosomal RNA
Rfam family: Bacterial small subunit ribosomal RNA
Source: RNAcentral